GUUGAACGCUGGCGGCGUGCCUAAUACAUGCAAGUCGAGCGAACAGACGAGGAGCUUGCUCCUCUGACGUUAGCGGCGGACGGGUGAGUAACACGUGGAUAACCUACCUAUAAGACUGGGAUAACUUCGGGAAACCGGAGCUAAUACCGGAUAACAUGUUGAACCGGAUGGUUCAACAGUGAAAGACGGUCUUGCUGUCACUUAUAGAUGGAUCCGCGCCGCAUUAGGUAGUUGGUAAGGUAACGGCUUACCAAGGCAACGAUGCGUAGCCGACCUGAGAGGGUGAUCGGCCACACUGGAACUGAGACACGGUCCAGACUCCUACGGGAGGCAGCAGUAGGGAAUUUUGCGCAAUGGGCGAAAGCCUGACGGAGCAACGCCGCGUGAGUGAAGAAGGUCUUCGGAUCGUAAAACUCUGUUAUUAGGGAAGAACAAAUGUGUACGUAACUAUGCACGUCUUGACGGUACCUAAUCAGAAAGCAACGGCUAACUACGUG
RNAcentral lists this ribosomal RNA (497 nucleotides) under uncultured bacterium. Its description in RNAcentral is "partial 16S ribosomal RNA". It matches the Rfam family "Bacterial small subunit ribosomal RNA", at positions 28 to 507 of the family's 1533-position model. The record is from RNAcentral.